AUGUCCUCCUCCUCAAGUGUUCCUCAGGGCACCCUGACCGGCCAGAUCAUCGAGAAGCUCACGUGCACGAACUACGUGCUCUGGCGUACCCAGAUCACGCCGCAACUCCGAGGCGCGGGGUUCUUCGGCUACGUCGAUGGAUCCAUGAAGGAACCUGCCUCGACCGUCAUCACCAAGCUGGCGGAUGGAAAGGAGGAGGAGUCGCCAAAUCCCCUGCAUUCAAUCUGGAUCAAGGAAGAUCAGCAGGUAUUAGGGUAUCUGCUGAAUAACUUGUCGAAGGAAGUGCUUGUGCAGGUUACGGCCAUCACCCAUGCGCACAAUCUCUGGACGGCGCUCGCGCACAUGUUCUCAUCGACCUCGAUCUCCCGCAUCAACAACAUACGCAUAGCACUUGCUAAUGCGCAGAAGGGGCAGCAGUUCGUGGCGACGUACUUUGCCCAGAUGCGCUCGCUGGUGGAUGAGCUGGCAGCGGCGGGAAAGCCCCUGGAGGAUGAUCAACUGAUCUCUCACAUCCUUGCGGGGCUCGACAUGGAGUACCAGCCGCUGGUCUCAGCGCUGGAUGCUCGCACCAUCCCGGUCACGCUCGAUGAGCUCUUUGCUCAGAUGAGCAAUUUCGACCAGAGGGUGGCGCUCUACCGCGACAACGACAACGGCUUCAAGUCUUCGGCCAACGGUGCUUCAUGUGGCCGUGGAGGUGGUGGCUCCUCCCGCUACCGUGGCCCUCCGCGCAAGGGGCAAAACGGCAACAACAACCCUCGCGCCAACAACAACACCAGCAGCGGCCGGCCCUCCUACAACAACACCAAGGGUCGCCGCAACAACUCCUCUGCUAGGUCUCGCCCCGAUGCUGUCAAGUGUCAGAUCUGCGGCAAGCUGGGGCACCCCGCGAAGGACUGCUGGUACCGUUUUGAGGAUGACAACGACUCAUCCCAAGACGAGAAAGUAGCCGGCGGUGCUGAAGGAUCAUACGGCGUCGAUACAAACUGGUCACGAAGAAAAUCCUAUAUCGAGGUAUAUGCGUUCGAGGACUGUAUCCGUUGA
RNAcentral lists this ribosomal RNA (1041 nucleotides) under Triticum aestivum (bread wheat). RNAcentral describes it as "partial small subunit ribosomal RNA". The stretch from base 481 to 619 matches the Rfam family "Small nucleolar RNA Z247". Lineage: Eukaryota; Viridiplantae; Streptophyta; Magnoliopsida; Poales; Poaceae. The record is from RNAcentral.